Molecule: ribosomal RNA, 283 nt
Filed under: Clostridioides difficile
Lineage: Bacteria; Bacillati; Bacillota; Clostridia; Peptostreptococcales; Peptostreptococcaceae
Description: partial 16S ribosomal RNA
Rfam family: Bacterial small subunit ribosomal RNA
Source: RNAcentral
AAUAUCAAAGGUGAGCCAGUACAGGAUGGACCCGCGUCUGAUUAGCUAGUUGGUAAGGUAACGGCUUACCAAGGCGACGAUCAGUAGCCGACCUGAGAGGGUGAUCGGCCACAUUGGAACUGAGACACGGUCCACACUCCUACGGGAGGCAGCAGUGGGGAAUAUUGCACAAUGGGCGAAAGCCUGAUGCAGCAACGCCGCGUGAGUGAUGAAGGCCUUCGGGUCGUAAAACUCUGUCCUCAAGGAAGAUAAUGACGGUACUUGAGGAGGAACCCCCGGCUAA